This 253-nucleotide ribosomal RNA is filed under the name uncultured bacterium. RNAcentral describes it as "partial 16S ribosomal RNA". It matches the Rfam family "Bacterial small subunit ribosomal RNA", at positions 524 to 776 of the family's 1533-position model. The record is from RNAcentral.
GACAGAGGGUGCAAACGUUGCUCGGAAUCACUGGGAGUAAAGGGCGUGUAGGCGGGAAGGAAAGUCAGAUGUGAAAUCCCCAGGCUCAACCUGGGAACUGCAUUUGAAACUCCCUUUCUUGAGUACCGGAGAGGAAAGUGGAAUUCCUGGUGUAGAGGUGAAAUUCGUAGAUAUCAGGAGGAACACCAGUGGCGAAGGCGGCUUUCUGGACGGUAACUGACGCUGAGACGCGAAAGCGUGGGGAGCAAACAGG